GCACUUAUACCGUGAAACUGCGAAUGGCUCAUUAAAUCAGUUAUCGUUUAUUUGAUAGUACCUUACUACUUGGAUAACCGUGGUAAUUCUAGAGCUAAUACAUGCUAAAAACCCCGACUUCGGAAGGGGUGUAUUUAUUAGAUAAAAAACCAAUGCCCUUCGGGGCUCCUUGGUGAUUCAUAAUAACUUAACGAAUCGCAUGGCCUUGCGCCGGCGAUGGUUCAUUCAAAUUUCUGCCCUAUCAACUUUCGAUGGUAGGAUAGUGGCCUACCAUGGUAUCAACGGGUAACGGGGAAUUAGGGUUCUAUUCCGGAGAGGGAGCCUGAGAAACGGCUACCACAUCCAAGGAAGGCAGCAGGCGCGCAAAUUACCCAAUCCCGACGCGGGGAGGUAGUGACAAUAAAUACUGAUACAGGGCUCUUUUGGGUCUUGUAAUUGGAAUGAGUACAAUUUAAAUCCCUUAACGAGGAACAAUUGGAGGGCAAGUCUGGUGAACACUCAGCUAGUUCCAUUCUGCUGACGCCAGAGAUAGUGGGGCCUCGCCAACCUGUACGGGCGAGGUUAUGCCUGCUAGUCGAGUAUCCACAAACAGCGAUGGGUGGAUGCCGGCGAGACAACCUGGUACGGGGAAGCCUAAGGGCGCGACUUCUUUCAAGGGAUGGUCGAGCACGCCUAUGGUAAUCCCGUGGCGAGCCGGAGCAAUUCGGCCGUCGUAACGCGCGCAAAGGUGUCCGUGGUGGGCUUUCAUGCCCGCCGCGUAAGGUACGUGCUGUCCCAUCCGAAAGGAUGCCUCUGACUGGAGCGCCCAUCGCGUAAAGGUCUUAGGGGAGGUGGUCAUCCGCCUCUGGGUAAUGAUAAAACGGCCAGCAGCCGCGGUAAUUCCAGCUCCAAUAGCGUAUAUUAAAGUUGUUGCAGUUAAAAAGCUCGUAGUUGAACCUUGGGUCUGGCUGACCGGUCCGCCUCACCGCGUGCACUGGUUCGGCCGGACCUUUCCUUCUGGGGAUCCGCAUGCCCUUCACUGGGCGUGUCGGGGAACCAGGACUUUUACUUUGAAAAAAUUAGAGUGUUCAAAGCAGGCCUUUGCUCGAAUACAUUAGCAUGGAAUAAUAGAAUAGGACGUGCGGUUCUAUUUUGUUGGUUUCUAGGACCGCCGUAAUGAUUAAUAGGGAUAGUCGGGGGUAUCAGUAUUCAAUUGUCAGAGGUGAAAUUCUUGGAUUUAUUGAAGACUAACUACUGCGAAAGCAUUUACCAAGGAUGUUUUCAUUAAUCAGUGAACGAAAGUUAGGGGAUCGAAGACGAUCAGAUACCGUCGUAGUCUUAACCGUAAACGAUGCCGACUAGGGAUCGGGCGAUGUUAUCAUUUUGACUCGCUCGGCACCUUACGAGAAAUCAAAGUUUUUGGGUUCUGGGGGGAGUAUGGUCGCAAGGCUGAAACUUAAAGAAAUGACGGAA
This 1452-nucleotide ribosomal RNA is filed under the name Wiesneriomyces javanicus. RNAcentral's name for it is "partial 18S ribosomal RNA". It matches the Rfam family "Eukaryotic small subunit ribosomal RNA", at positions 69 to 1161 of the family's 1831-position model. The record is from RNAcentral. Lineage: Eukaryota; Fungi; Ascomycota; Dothideomycetes; Tubeufiales; Wiesneriomycetaceae.